UACGUAGGGUGCAAGCGUUGUUCGGAAUUACUGGGCGUAAAGGGCGCGUAGGCGGGCCUGUAAGUCGAUUGUGAAAGCCCCGGGCUUAACCUGGGAACAGCAGUCGAAACUGCAGGUCUUGGAUGCCUGAGAGGAUGGCGGAAUUCCCGGUGUAGAAGUGAAAUUCGUAGAUAUCGGGAAGAACACCUGAGGCGAAGGCGGCUGUCUGGCGGUGCAUCGACGCUGAGGCGCGAAAGCGUGGGGAGCAAACAGG
Molecule: ribosomal RNA, 253 nt
Filed under: uncultured bacterium
Lineage: Bacteria
Description: partial 16S ribosomal RNA
Rfam family: Bacterial small subunit ribosomal RNA
Source: RNAcentral